GAUGAACGCUGGCGGCGUGCCUAUCCAUGCAAGUCGAGCGAACAGACGAGGAGCUUGCUCCUCUGACGUUAGCGGCGGACGGGUGAGUAACACGUGGAUAACCUACCUAUAAGACUGGGAUAACUUCGGGAAACCGGAGCUAAUACCGGAUAAUAUAUUGAACCGCAUGGUUCAAUAGUGAAAGACGGUUUUGCUGUCACUUAUAGAUGGAUCCGCGCCGCAUUAGCUAGUUGGUAAGGUAACGGCUUACCAAGGCAACGAUGCGUAGCCGACCUGAGAGGGUGAUCGGCCACACUGGAACUGAGACACGGUCCAGACUCCUACGGGAGGCAGCAGUAGGGAAUCUUCCGCAAUGGGCGAAAGCCUGACGGAGCAACGCCGCGUGAGUGAUGAAGGUCUUCGGAUCGUAAAACUCUGUUAUUAGGGAAGAACAAAUGUGUAAGUAACUAUGCACGUCUUGACGGUACCUAAUCAGAAAGCCACGGCUAACUACGUG
RNAcentral lists this ribosomal RNA (496 nucleotides) under uncultured bacterium. Its description in RNAcentral is "partial 16S ribosomal RNA". It matches the Rfam family "Bacterial small subunit ribosomal RNA", at positions 28 to 507 of the family's 1533-position model. The record is from RNAcentral.